Camellia sinensis is the source of this 209-nucleotide non-coding RNA. Lineage: Eukaryota; Viridiplantae; Streptophyta; Magnoliopsida; Ericales; Theaceae. The record is from RefSeq and is a predicted model, not a curated record.
ACCAUUUCCAUACAGGUGGUGCUUUUGGUGUUCGAAGGACUAUUUUUGAUUUUAGGUGGAGGAUAUAGUUGUUUUAAAAAGUAUCAUUAGAUCAACAAAAACAGUUGCAAUUGAAGUACUUAAAUGUACAGACCUAUCUAAAGAAGUAAAAGGGGAAGAACUAGGAUCUGACUAAUAUGGAAGGUACAUGUUCAAGUGCCAGUCAAACU